GAAAUGCGAUAAGUAAUGUGAAUUGCAGAAUUCAGUGAAUCAUCGAAUCUUUGAACGCACAUUGCGCCCCUUGGUAUUCCGAGGGGCAUGCCUGUUCGAGCGUCAUUACACCACUCAAGCUAUGCUUGGUAUUGGGUGCCGUCCUUAGUUGGGCGCGCCUUAAAGACCUCGGCGAGGCCUCACCGGCUUUAGGCGUAGUAGAAUUUCUUCGAACGUCUGUCAAAGGAGAGGACUUCUGCCGACUGAAACCUUUUAUUUUUCUAGGUUGACCUCGGAUCAGGUAGGGAUACCCGCUGAACUUAAGC
RNAcentral lists this unclassified non-coding RNA (305 nucleotides) under plant metagenome. Its description in RNAcentral is "partial contains 5.8S ribosomal RNA, internal transcribed spacer 2, and large subunit ribosomal RNA". The stretch from base 1 to 105 matches the Rfam family "5.8S ribosomal RNA", at positions 50 to 154 of the family's 154-position model. The record is from RNAcentral.